UACGUAGGGUGCGAGCGUUAAUCGGAAUUACUGGGCGUAAAGCGUGCGCAGGCGGUUGUGUAAGACAGGUGUGAAAUCCCCGGGCUUAACCUGGGAACUGCGCUUGUGACUGCACGACUCGAGUGUGGCAGAGGGGGGUGGAAUUCCACGUGUAGCAGUGAAAUGCGUAGAGAUGUGGAGGAACACCGAUGGCGAAGGCAGCCCCCUGGGUUAACACUGACGCUCAUGCACGAAAGCGUGGGUAGCAAACAGG
Molecule: ribosomal RNA, 253 nt
Filed under: uncultured bacterium
Lineage: Bacteria
Description: partial 16S ribosomal RNA
Rfam family: Bacterial small subunit ribosomal RNA
Source: RNAcentral